GAAAAUCUACACAUCUGCAAAGUUCCUUUUGCCAUAUAAUCAGAAGAAACAAAAAGAAGCUGUGGUGAAGAAGGAACGUUUUCUAAAGCCUCUUUUACAUCCAGGAUGGUUGAGAAGUCAGAGGCCUGCAAUGCUAGGAAGAGAGGGUCUAAAAUGUCCUUUUCACUGUGAUGUAAGUAGGCUCUCCAGCAGUCCCAGAAGACUUUCACAAGAAGAGUUUCAGACAAUAGAAAAUAAGCCUAAGUGAUUGUGUGAAUAUCACAGAGCAACAGAGAAAAUGUGGAUCACUCCAACUCUAGCACAAGGUCAGGGAGGAAAAAAAAUCAGAGAGUUUGGAAUUUGUAAGUGCUCGUGUUUGAGAAAUGGGGAGCAUCACAAACUAACAGCAUAGGUGGACAUUUUUUAUAGGGUAAAGGAUUCCCACGGAACAGCACUCGUCAAAUGCAAAUAAAAAUUGUACAAAGAAGGUAACUUCUUUCUCUGUCCCCACAUCUCUCCUUCUGAAACUUCAUUCUUCCAUUAAAAAGGAAUUGUGCUUUGUGAU
This 544-nucleotide non-coding RNA is filed under the name Pongo abelii (Sumatran orangutan). The record is from RNAcentral. Lineage: Eukaryota; Metazoa; Chordata; Mammalia; Primates; Hominidae.